Long non-coding RNA from Lynx canadensis (Canada lynx), 1120 nucleotides. RefSeq lists it as uncharacterized. NCBI's taxonomy places the organism in Eukaryota, Metazoa, Chordata, Mammalia, Carnivora, Felidae. The record is from RefSeq and is a predicted model, not a curated record. The transcript is spliced from 2 exons.
GGUUCGCGCUCCUGGUCGGCUACAAGCACCUGAAGGAGAGGAUGCGAGACCAAGGGUGGCGUCAGGCUGUGGACCGCAGAGCGGAGGCUCCCCACCCUGUGAAUACAGGCGUCCAACGCUUUGAACAACUGAAUCUCGGGGGUCUUGGCCCUCUGUCGCCCACCGCUUUGGGAUUCCCUGCGUUCUAGAAGUCUGAGGAGUUACUUCACACAGCAGAAAGACGGACGGCCUCCGCCGUGAGAAUUACGCAAAGAAAGGAGUUACUGUGCUGGCUGGGGUGAUUGAUCCUGACUACCAAGGGGAAAUUGGACUACUCAUCCACCAUAGAAGGAAAGAAGAGUAUGUCUGAAAUACAGGGGAUCCCUUCGUAUUACCAUGCCCUGUGAUUAAGGCCAAUGGAAAACUACAACAACCCAACCCAGACAGAACAACUAAUGGCUCACAUCCUUCAGGAAUGAAGAUUUGGGUCACCCUAACGGUAAAGAAUCAUGCAUGACCACCUGAGAUGCUGGCUGAAGACAAAGGGAAAACAGAAUGGGUAGUGGAAGAAGGUAGUUAUAAAUACAAGCAAUGACCAUGUGACUAGUUAUAGAAGUGAGGACUAUAAUUGUCAUGAGUAUUUAUCCUUACUUUGUUAUGCAUGUGUGUGCGUGUAUUUCAUAAAUACCUUUGUUUUCUUCCCUCUUGUAUUUCCUUAUCAUAUAAUGUAAGAUAUAUUGACUUUAUGUCAUAAUAUUUAAGUAUUGUUAAUUUUACAUUAUAGAAUUUGAAUUAUGGGAUAUCAAGAAGAGUGAACAUCAUCCAACAAUAUUACCUCCCUUUCAAGGGAAAGGGUUAGAAUGUUUUUGGUUUAUGCAAGAUAUUAUGUCAUGUUAGGUAGAAUUAUGACCUUGUUAUUGUUAUUAUUUAGAGAUUAAAUUUGGUUUAAGGAGAUGCGUAUGGGUUCCAAGUUGACAAGGGGUGGACUUCUUUCUGAUGGUUAAUUGUAUAUAUCAACUUGACUGGGCCAUGGAGUGCCCAACAUUUAGUCAAACAUUAUUUUGGGUUUGUCUGUGAGGAUGUUUCUGGAUAAGCUAACAUUUGAAUGAGUACACUGAAUAAAGCAGAUUGCCCUCCCUAA